AUUUCGUUCAUUAACGUAACUUAUAAUUUUAUUUUUAUUUUCAGCUUCUUUUGUAUAAUAACUUUUUUUUUUUUAAGAAAUAAGUAGCAUGCUACCCGCUUGGUUUAUUUCAUUUAGAAAUAAACUUAGUUGGAAAUGUGAAUCAACUAGUAUUCGAACUUGGGUCUCGAAUACCAACCACCAAGUUCUUUGCCGUUUGCUCUAGGGAUGGUUGGUACAGUAUAAGCUCUUUAGAUCCUUCAUUCUACUGAAUAUUCAAUUAAAAAAUAAAAGUAAAAACCUCUUACUGAAAUUACAAAAUAAAU
Molecule: long non-coding RNA, 305 nt
Filed under: Ananas comosus (pineapple)
Lineage: Eukaryota; Viridiplantae; Streptophyta; Magnoliopsida; Poales; Bromeliaceae
Description: long non-coding RNA (ACOM_LNC011386)
Source: RNAcentral